Molecule: long non-coding RNA, 2756 nt
Organism: Lytechinus pictus (painted urchin)
Lineage: Eukaryota; Metazoa; Echinodermata; Echinoidea; Temnopleuroida; Toxopneustidae
Exons: 4
Source: RefSeq, a predicted model, not a curated record
GCGCGGGGUACUCCUUAAAUUGGCAACGAGUUCUUACUGUGACGUUUGAACAGGAUGCUAAAGGUCUCGAACAUUCCACACCCCAAUACCAGGUCCAGUAGAAUAUAAAGGCAGCCAUUACUAGACUUGCAAAGCAGGAGAUGAUGCACAUAACAAGGGCCUCAUGAAAGAUCAACCUUUAAAGCUUUCUUGGUGAAACAUGAAUAAACAAAAAGAUGUUAAAAGGAUAGAAGCAUGUUGCGAUUGGUUUACACAUAUUUCAAGUUCCUGAAACACAUGUUGACUUCUAUCGACGGUGUACGUAUUCGCAACGAGCAUCGUGCCAUGGUCUCUACCUAACCGAGGGCCUUAGGGACAGGCCGCAACGAGCUUGUGGGGAAAUCAUACGGGAAUCGUGCAGUCACCUUGUAAUUUUCUUGGUCUCUUGACAUAUAUCGUAUGAAAUCGUACAGAGAUCAUACAAUUUCGUACAGUGGCCUUGCGAUCUUCUUCGUAAAGGAAUUCUUUGCCCUGCAUUUCCAGCACACAACACCUAUUCACUGUAUUUACACCGCAGUCUAAUAGCACAACAAAGUCCAUUCGAAUGGGCCUACAGCUUUAUUAUUUUUAUUCUUUUAAGGGGGGGGGGGGUUCACACAUAUGAAUUAUCGUAGAGGUUAAAAUGGCCGUAAAGGCUGCGGAUGGAUUCGGACGAUUAUCUUACAGCCAGGGUUCGCCCCACAAGAAGGACAAGAGGGAUCCUGCAUAAUAAAAUGCGAUGAUAUUCAGGAUAUUUGGUGAGGUCAUCGUUUGCAAAAUGUUGUGCACUGUGCAGCCAGCAGUUUCCUAUGUGGUGUUUUUUUAACCACAGUAACCCAUUGUGGCGUCGUAUUGCACAAGUAACUAAUUUACACUGAAAACACAAAUAUGAACAUUGGGGGAGGAAAGGGUGUUGCAGGGAUUUCCAAUUAGCUUGAAAGGAAGUACUUACGAACGCCCCACACCAAACUCCUGCACCUGUGUCGAUGACGUGCAAGACCAAUGCGAAAAAGAUGCCCCCAAGCAGAAGUGUACACACUCCACAAAUGACCUGCACCACCCCGGAAGAGAAACCCAAACUCGCGUUGUAUUGUGGAUACCGUCCGGGACAGCAUGAGUUCUGAAUAAAAAAAAAAUGUUUGAAAUGAUUUCUGACAAAAAAAUAUGUCGGAAAUUGUAGUAUUGAUUGUGAUAAUUGUCCUUUAUGUAAUAUGCAAGGGAAAAUUAAGGCAAUACUACACUGUAAAAAAAUAUUGGGUAAAAUUUGUACCACCACGGGGGUAAUUAUGUGUCCUACCAAUUUGGAGCAGUAUUUUGGCCAAUGCGGGAAGCAUAUCGUCCAGUAAGGUUAAAAAAUAAGCAGCAAUUACUUUAGAAUGAGCAACAUUUUCAUCACACUUGAUAAAUAUAAAUGCCGAAUGUUGGUUGGACACACAAUUACCCUCUUGGAGCACUUUCACCCAAUAUGUUUUUAGAGUGCAGAGUAUCAGAUGUAAUAGUAGUAUUAUUAGUAGAAGCAGCAGCAGCAGUAGCAGAAGCGGUAGUGGUGGUAGUAGGUAGCAGAAGCGGUAGUGGUGGUAGUAGUAGUAGUAGUAGCAGUGGCGUACCUAGGGUUUUCCACAGGGGGGGGGCAAAUUCGUCCGCCAAAAAAAUUGACAAGCAAAAAAAAAAAAGGGUCUUCAACCACAAAUAAAGGAUUUCGUACCAGAAAAAAAAUUGACAAGCCCCCCCCCCAAAAAAAAAAGAAGGUACGCUAGUGAGUAGUAGUAGUACUAGUAGUAGUACGUCAUAUUGGUGGUUAUCGCGUAACAUACUAACGCCCAAAAUUAGCCUUUGGACAAGGCCAUGUGAUUGUUAUGAUGUUAAGCCUCUAUCACUCGCCUACCGAACGAAAAAAAAAUACGUACAGAUGAUGUAUAGGAAGAGUAAGAAGAACAAACGCAUACAUUAUAUUGGAGGGAAGAUAAAUGCAUGGUCAUGGAUCAACAGCAUUAUUGAAAACAUGAUUAUAACUUCCUCAUUUUAAUUUUUCUUUCCCUAUCUACUUUUUUGGUAAUAUUCCUAUUAUUUUGUGCAAUAAAAGAUAAGUCUCUUUUAUUGCACUGUUUGUCUGAUUUUCCUUCCCCUUUCCUUUUGAGGCCUUUAUAAUUUUCAAGCUCUAAGCUUAAGAUGAAGGUCUCCCAUAUUUCAAAAUGUAUUAUGUCGAUAUACGUAUAUCUAUAAUUUUUUUCUGCUAUUUGUUUUAAUGAUAAAAAAAAAGAAAUUUAUCAGGUAUAAAUAUAUUCCAAUUAGAUUGUGAGAUUGUAUAUAUGCAUAUGUUAUUAAUUAUGUCAUUUGCUUAUUGUUAUGUUAUGCUAAGAAAAAAGGAUUACACUUGUAUAUACUUUUUGUUAUUGGAAUGUGGAAAUAAAUAAAUCAAAUCAAAUCAAAUCAAAAUUCGACAUUUUCCCAGUGGAUUGGGACUCCACGAAAAAAAAACAGAAUACGACACAAACGAAAGAUACAAAUUAUACUGUUCAGGAUUGAUUAAUAUCCCCAGAAGAUGAUCCCUGUUCCGUGAUUGGUUGAAUUAAUGUAACAUGAAUUUUGAAUUACCUCCCUCGGUGAUGACGUCACGCGUACGAUGCGCACUUGUGGCGAUGUCAUGAUAUACUCCUUUGUGUUGCGGAUCUAUAUUAAAAGAAAAUAGGUGUAUAUUAUUCAUCAGAAGAUUAUAAUAAAUCAAAGAUAAAGUCUGU